Molecule: transfer RNA, 71 nt
Filed under: Marmota marmota marmota (Alpine marmot)
Lineage: Eukaryota; Metazoa; Chordata; Mammalia; Rodentia; Sciuridae
Also listed under: 4 other names
Rfam family: tRNA
About the family: Transfer RNA (tRNA) molecules are approximately 80 nucleotides in length. Their secondary structure includes four short double-helical elements and three loops (D, anti-codon, and T loops).
Source: Rfam by way of RNAcentral
GGGGUGCUAGCUCAAGGGUAAAGCACUUGCCUAGCAUACAAGAGACCCUGGGUUCAACCCCUAGCAUCCCA